This 498-nucleotide ribosomal RNA is filed under the name uncultured bacterium. Its description in RNAcentral is "partial 16S ribosomal RNA". It matches the Rfam family "Bacterial small subunit ribosomal RNA", at positions 30 to 523 of the family's 1533-position model. The record is from RNAcentral.
AUUGAACGCUGGCGGCAUGCCUUACACAUGCAGGUCGAACGGUAACAGGUCUUCGGAUGCUGACGAGUGGCGAACGGGUGAGUAAUACAUCGGAACGUGGCUAGUAGUGGGGGAUAACUACUCGAAAGAGUGGCUAAUACCGCAUGAGAUCUACGGAUGAAAGCAGGGGAUCGCAAGACCUUGUGCUACUAGAGCGGCCGAUGGCAGAUUAGGUAGUUGGUGGGAUAAAAGCUUACCAAGCCGACGAUCUGUAGCUGGUCUGAGAGGACGAUCAGCCACACUGGGACUGAUACACGGCCCAGACUCCUACGGGAGGCAGCAGUGGGGAAUUUUGGACAAUGGGCGAAAGCCUGAUCCAGCAAUGCUGCGUGCAGGAUGAAGGCCUUCGGGUUGUAAACUGCUUUUGUACGGAACGAAAAGCCCCGGGUUAAUACCCUGGGGUCAUGACGGUACCGUAAGAAUAAGCACCGGCUAACUACGUGCCAGCCGCCGCCGUAA